This 267-nucleotide long non-coding RNA is filed under the name Bos taurus (domestic cattle). Its description in RNAcentral is "long non-coding RNA NONBTAT004209". The record is from RNAcentral. Lineage: Eukaryota; Metazoa; Chordata; Mammalia; Artiodactyla; Bovidae.
ACCCGGAAACUCCUCACCACCACUUUAAGCCGCUGUGGUUGACUCAGCAGUCACAUCGGACAAGUCAGACCUCGGUCGUUUGCCUCGAGUAUUUGGGUGUGCUGUAAACUUGGGAGGCGAACUUUCAGAGAUACGUAAAAAUAAGAUGAGAAGUUGAGACAAGCCUCUCAAAGCGUGAUAUGAUUUUAUCUUAAAGCCUGGGUCAUAUUGAUAGCUUAUGUUUUAAUUUAAUUAGAGACUGAAAGCAAGGUUAGAAAUAAAAAAUCA